ACUCCAAAGCAGCAGGAACUGGGCAAGGAGCAACUAGCUGAUAUAAUGAAACGAACGUUUGCCAAUGGAGAACUCCCCGGUGUGCGCUUCUCCGUGGGACGUGACUUUGGCAAUGUGCAGAACUUUUCCGCACACAGACUGGUAUUGAGCAUUCGAAGCGCCGUGUUCCGUACGAUGUUCCACGGUAGUUUGCUACUUUGCUUGAGAAAUGCGAGGAAGCCAUCGACAUUCUGAUAUUCAGUAUUUGCCAAUCUGCUGAGUUUCAUGUACAUGGACGCAGUUGACCAC
Molecule: long non-coding RNA, 288 nt
Organism: Paramacrobiotus metropolitanus
Lineage: Eukaryota; Metazoa; Tardigrada; Eutardigrada; Parachela; Macrobiotidae
Exons: 3
Source: RefSeq, a predicted model, not a curated record